RNAcentral lists this ribosomal RNA (837 nucleotides) under uncultured bacterium. RNAcentral's name for it is "bacterial SSU rRNA". It matches the Rfam family "Bacterial small subunit ribosomal RNA", at positions 1 to 892 of the family's 1533-position model. The record is from RNAcentral.
UAGAGUUUGAUCCUGGCUCAGAGCGAACGCUGGCGGCAGGCCUAACACAUGCAAGUCGAACGGACCCUUCGGGGUUAGUGGCGGACGGGUGAGUAACACGUGGGAACGUGCCUUUAGGUUCGGAACAACUCAGGGAAACUUGAGCUAAUACCGAAUGUGCCCUUCGGGGGAAAGAUUUAUCGCCUUUAGAGCGGCCCGCGUCUGAUUAGGUAGUUGGUGGGGUAAAGGCCUACCAAGCCUACGAUCAGUAGCUGGUCUGAGAGGAUGAUCAGCCACAUUGGGACUGAGACACGGCCCAAACUCCUACGGGAGGCAGCAGUGGGGAAUCUUGCGCAAUGGGCGAAAGCCUGACGCAGCCAUGCCGCGUGAAUGAUGAAGGUCUUAGGAUUGUAAAAUUCUUUCACCGGGGACGAUAAUGACGGUACCCGGAGAAGAAGCCCCGGCUAACUUCGUGCCAGCAGCCGCGGUAAUACGAAGGGGGCUAGCGUUGCUCGGAAUUACUGGGCGUAAAGGGAGCGUAGGCGGACAGUUUAGUCAGAGGUGAAAGCCCAGGGCUCAACCCUGGAAUUGCCUUUGAUACUGGCUGUCUUGAGUAUGGGAGAGGUAAGCGGAACUCCGAGUGUAGAGGUGAAAUUCGUAGAUAUUCGGAAGAACACCAGUGGCGAAGGCGGCUUACUGGCCCAUUACUGACGCUGAGGCUCGAAAGCGUGGGGAGCAAACAGGAUUAGAUACCCUGGUAGUCCACGCCGUAACGAUGAGAGCUAGUUGUCGGCAUGCAUGCAUGUCGGUGACGCAGCUAACGCAUUAAGCUCUCCGCCUGGGGAGUACGGUCGCAAG